This 74-nucleotide transfer RNA is filed under the name Olavius algarvensis spirochete endosymbiont. It matches the Rfam family "tRNA". Rfam says of the family: Transfer RNA (tRNA) molecules are approximately 80 nucleotides in length. Their secondary structure includes four short double-helical elements and three loops (D, anti-codon, and T loops). Lineage: Bacteria; Pseudomonadati; Spirochaetota; Spirochaetia; Spirochaetales. The record is from Rfam by way of RNAcentral.
GGGCCUAUAGCUCAGUUGGUUAGAGCAUUCGACUCAUAAUCGAACGGUCCUAGGUUCAAGUCCUAGUGGGCCCA